Molecule: ribosomal RNA, 253 nt
Filed under: uncultured prokaryote
Description: partial 16S ribosomal RNA
Rfam family: Bacterial small subunit ribosomal RNA
Source: RNAcentral
UACGGGGGGAGCAAGCGUUGUUCGGAUUUACUGGGCGUAAAGCGCGUUCAGGCGGUUUGGCAAGUCGGGCAUGAAAUCCUUCGGCUCAACCGGGGGAGGUUGUCCGAUACUGCUAAACUGGAGGGCAGUAGAGGGUGGUGGAAUUCCGGGUGUAGUGGUGAAAUGCGUAGAGAUCCGGAGGAACACCAGUGGCGAAAGCGGCCACCUGGACUGUACCUGACGCUGAAACGCGAAAGCUAGGGGAGCGAACGGG